Cyprinus carpio carpio is the source of this 1213-nucleotide long non-coding RNA. Lineage: Eukaryota; Metazoa; Chordata; Actinopteri; Cypriniformes; Cyprinidae. The record is from Ensembl.
CAAAAUUAAGAUAAUAAAUGUUUCAAUUCAUAAUGUUAAUGUAAAAAAAAAAGUAAGUAUAAAAAGUACAUAUUUACAUAUUCACUUAACACUUUACAAUAAUGUCCCAUUAGGUAAUGUUGGUUACAAAUAUUUCAUACAGAAAAGCAAUGCAUAAACAUACAAAUGAAUGGUCAUUGGAAAAAAAAAUAUAUCACAUUUUUAAUACAAAAAACAAGUUUUGAAAAAUGGACACUUGUUUAAGGCAGACCAUUCCAAAGAGAUGGGAUGAUUUCACAUAUAUUAGUUAAUAAAGUCUUCACUUUCUUUAUCUUCUCUUAACACCAGCUUUAUUUCAGAGGGAGGUUAGAGGGGUUUCCUCCUGAGACCGGAGAGGAACAGAUUGUGGAAUUACUAUUGGGCUACAGGAGUACUGGACCUACAGGCUUCUGGCACAUGAAGAGUCACUGGAGCAUAUGUCGCCAGCACGAUUCAUUCAUUUAAAUUUAUGGAGUGGAAGUGGGCCAGGUAGCGCACCACAGUGACUGUCAACAGCACCUCCAUCUUCACAAACUUCACGUACACCGGUCCCAUCAUCCUACCAUAUGUCCCGCGAAACACAAUUUCUAAUGGACAAGGACAGCUGUAUCAGGCCCCUAAAAUCAUUCCCACCUCUCGCCCCACUGAAGCUAUGGCCCUGCAAACACAAUGGGUCAGAGUUUUAUUUCAGCAGGUUGUCACUCAGGUAAUCAAGUGGGACCUUUCACUGCAAACCAAUCAGUCUCAGUGAGCCCUAUUUGAGCAGCAUUAGCCAUCCUUCCCCUGAGCAUUACAUCAUUCUGAGGGACAACCGAGCCAAUCAACAGCCUGGCAGGAUUACACAGCAUAUGGGCAUGUCCUGACUGUGUUGGAGAACUAAACAGAGCAGCAUGAACAUUCUGCUUAACAUCUCUUAUUUCUCACUGGAAGAAGAAAGUCAUACAGGGUUGGAACAACAUGAAGUUAUCAAACUGAGCUGAACUUGAAAGCUGUGGCAGAAUUACAUAAUUGCAGACAAAUGUGGUACAAGCGAGAGAGCUGGAGAGCAGAAUGUGUUUAAAUAUUUAAGCCUCAUCAGUGAGAGCCUAAAGGCUUUGAUAAACCCUCUAGAGCUCUGAACUUUGAGAAGAAUACAGUUUUCCUUGCUUUACAAAUGCAGUUUUGUGUCUUGUCAUAAAGAGAAAUAAGAACUACA